AAGUAAGAAGGCAGAAGGAUCUCAGGUGGAUAUUCCUUGAUCUUGGAAAGGGAGACUGUUUGAAGGAAAGCACCAUGGCCUGGACACUGGUUUUCCUUUCUCUUCUUAGUUAUUUCUCAGGCGUCACUUCACAGCCCACUUUGACUCAGUCCGCCUCCCAGUCUGGAUCUCCAGGAGGGACAAUUCAACUCACCUGUGCCAUCAGCGGCAAUCCAAACUACAUUGGCUGGAUUCAACAGAAAUCUGGGGAAGGCCCUCGCUUUGUGCACUGUGAUUCUGUCUGUAGCAGGGGAGAAGGGAUCCCAGACCGAUUCACGGGAACCCGGUCAGGCAACAACGGCUACUUAACCAUCACCAACCUUCAGGCUGAAGACGAGGCUGAUUAUUACUGUCACAUGUGGUAUAGCAGUGGUGGAAUGUUCCACAGUAUCACGGUCAGGUACAACUAUACUCAGGAAACUGCCCGCUCUGCAUCUCUUGGAGAAUCAGCAAUUCUCUCCUGCAAGAUCAGCAAUGGCCUCCAUUUUCGUUACUCCUCAUG
Non-coding RNA from Pseudonaja textilis, 541 nucleotides. The record is from the annotation of a RefSeq genome assembly. NCBI's taxonomy places the organism in Eukaryota, Metazoa, Chordata, Lepidosauria, Squamata, Elapidae.